This 322-nucleotide ribosomal RNA is filed under the name uncultured eukaryote. RNAcentral's name for it is "partial 18S ribosomal RNA". It matches the Rfam family "Eukaryotic small subunit ribosomal RNA", at positions 1470 to 1796 of the family's 1831-position model. The record is from RNAcentral.
CCCUUAGAUGUUCUGGGCCGCACGCGUGCUACACUGAGUAAUUCAAUGGGUAAGGGAACGCUAGAGCAUUACCUAAUCUUGAAAUUUGCUCGUGAUGGGGAUCGACGGUUGCAAUUUUCCGUCGUGAACGAGGAAUACCUUGUAGGCGCAUGUCAUCAUCAUGCGCCGAAUACGUCCCUGCCCUUUGUACACACCGCCCGUCGCUCCUACCGAUUGAGUGAUCCGGUGAGGCUCUGGGACCUGGACGGAAAGAGCGUUUCGCUUGUUCUGUUUGGGAAACUUGGUCGAACCUUAUCAUUUAGAGGAAGGAGAAGUUGUAACA